UACGGGGGGAGCAAGCGUUGUUCGGAUUUACUGGGCGUAAAGGGCGCGUAGGCGGCCACUGCAAGUCAGUUGUGAAAUCUCCGGGCUUAACCCGGAAAGGUCAACUGAUACUGCAGGGCUAGAGUGCAGAAGGGGCAACUGGAAUUCUCGGUGUAGCGGUGAAAUGCGUAGAUAUCGAGAGGAACGCCUGCGGCGAAGGCGGGUUGCUGGGCUGACACUGACGCUGAUGUGCGAAAGCUAGGGGAGCGAACGGG
RNAcentral lists this ribosomal RNA (254 nucleotides) under uncultured bacterium. RNAcentral's name for it is "partial 16S ribosomal RNA". It matches the Rfam family "Bacterial small subunit ribosomal RNA", at positions 524 to 776 of the family's 1533-position model. The record is from RNAcentral.